Molecule: long non-coding RNA, 382 nt
Organism: Hordeum vulgare subsp. vulgare (domesticated barley)
Lineage: Eukaryota; Viridiplantae; Streptophyta; Magnoliopsida; Poales; Poaceae
Exons: 3
Source: RefSeq, a predicted model, not a curated record
CUUCUGCUAUUUUCCCUCUCUCUGAAUUCUCUCUUCUCUUGUUGUAUUCUCAGACUUCUGCAACACCAUGGAUGAGUCCCCUGUGGCUCCCCAAGCAGCAGCAGCACGAAGCCCCCCGCAGUCGACCACUUGGGAGCAGCACCACCUCGCCAUGAACGGGAGCCCGCAGCUCAUGAUCCGGUUGUCCCAACUCCGAAUCGAGUUCCUGGAGGCAGGAAUGGAUCCCCAACCUCCGGAUCUGGCGCCGCCAACCCCCCUUUUCGCCGCUGGUCCGCUCCAGAUCGCAGGAUCUCGGCCCUGUCGAUCUCUACUUUUCCCCCUGUGAGACCUGUAUCUGAAGAGUUCCGCAAGCGAGUCGGAUUGUGAGGACCCGUUCGACUAC